GAUGAACGCUGGCGGCGUGCCUAAUACAUGCAAGUCGAGCGAACAGACGAGGAGCUUGCUCCUCUGACGUUAGCGGCGGACGGGUGAGUAACACGUGGAUAACCUCCCUAUAAGACUGGGAUAACUUCGGGAAACCGGAGCUAAUACCGGAUAAUAUAUUGAACCGCAUGGUUCAAUAGUGAAAGACGGUUUUGCUGUCACUUAUAGAUGGAUCCGCGCCGCAUUAGCUAGUUGGUAAGGUAACGGCUUACCAAGGCAACGAUGCGUAGCCGACCUGAGAGGGGGAUCGGCCACACGGGAACUGAGACACGGUCCAGACUCCUACGGGAGGCAGCAAUAGGGAAUCGUCCGCAAUGGGCGAAAGCCUGACGGAGCAACGCCGCGUGAGUGAUGAAGGUCUUCGGAUCGUAAAACUCUGUUAUUAGGGAAGAACAAAUGUGUAAGUAACUAUGCACGUCUUGACGGUACCUAAUCAGAAAGCCACGGCUAACUACGUG
This 497-nucleotide ribosomal RNA is filed under the name uncultured bacterium. RNAcentral describes it as "partial 16S ribosomal RNA". It matches the Rfam family "Bacterial small subunit ribosomal RNA", at positions 28 to 507 of the family's 1533-position model. The record is from RNAcentral.